GCCGUUGAAAGGUGUGCAAUGGU
This 23-nucleotide non-coding RNA is filed under the name Arabidopsis thaliana (thale cress). Lineage: Eukaryota; Viridiplantae; Streptophyta; Magnoliopsida; Brassicales; Brassicaceae. The record is from RNAcentral.